RNAcentral lists this ribosomal RNA (820 nucleotides) under uncultured bacterium. RNAcentral's name for it is "bacterial SSU rRNA". It matches the Rfam family "Bacterial small subunit ribosomal RNA", at positions 60 to 877 of the family's 1533-position model. The record is from RNAcentral.
AGUCGAACGGCAGCACGGGAGCAAUCCUGGUGGCGAGUGGCGAACGGGUGAGUAAUAUAUCGGAACGUGCCCGGUCGUGGGGGAUAACGCAGCGAAAGCUGUGCUAAUACCGCAUACGAUCUACGGAUGAAAGCGGGGGAUCGCAAGACCUCGCGCGAUUGGAGCGGCCGAUAUCAGAUUAGGUUGUUGGUGGGGUAAAAGCCCACCAAGCCGACGAUCUGUAGCUGGUCUGAGAGGACGACCAGCCACACUGGAACUGAGACACGGUCCAGACUCCUACGGGAGGCAGCAGUGGGGAAUUUUGGACAAUGGGCGCAAGCCUGAUCCAGCAAUGCCGCGUGCAGGAUGAAGGCCUUCGGGUUGUAAACUGCUUUUGUACGGAACGAAACGGCCUACUCUAAUACAGUGGGCUAAUGACGGUACCGUAAGAAUAAGCACCGGCUAACUACGUGCCAGCAGCCGCGGUAAUACGUAGGGUGCGAGCGUUAAUCGGAAUUACUGGGCGUAAAGCGUGCGCAGGCGGUUAUAUAAGACAGAUGUGAAAUCCCCGGGCUCAACCUGGGACCUGCAUUUGUGACUGUAUAGCUAGAGUGCGGCAGAGGGGGAUGGAAUUCCGCGUGUAGCAGUGAAAUGCGUAGAUAUGCGGAGGAACACCGAUGGCGAAAGCAAUCCCCUGGGCCUGCACUGACGCUCAUGCACGAAAGCGUGGGGAGCAAACAGGAUUAGAUACCCUGGUAGUCCACGCCCUAAACGAUGUCAACUGGUUGUUGGGUCUUCACUGACUCAGUAACGAAGCUACGCGUGAAGUUGACCGCCUGGG